AUUGAACGCUGGCGGCAGGCCUAACACAUGCAAGUCGAGCGGGGUUUUCGGACCUAGCGGCGGACGGGUGAGUAAUGCGUAGGAAGCUACCCGAUAGAGGGGAUACCAGUUGGAACGACUGUUAAUACCGCAUAAUGUCUACGGACCAAAGUGUGGGACCUUCGGGCCACAUGCUAUCGGAUGCGCCUACGUGGGAUUAGCUAGUUGGUGGGGUAAUGGCUCACCAAGGCGACGAUCCCUAGCUGGUUUGAGAGGAUGAUCAGCCACACUGGAACUGAGACAUGGUCCAGACUCCUACGGGAGGCAGCAGUGGGGAAUAUUGGACAAUGGGCGGCAAGCCUGAUCCAGCCAUGCCGCGUGUGUGAAGAAGGCCUUC
Molecule: ribosomal RNA, 376 nt
Filed under: uncultured bacterium
Lineage: Bacteria
Description: bacterial SSU rRNA
Rfam family: Bacterial small subunit ribosomal RNA
Source: RNAcentral